GGGGNGCUUACCAUGCAAGUCGAACGAUGAACCUCCUUCGGGAGGGGAUUAGUGGCGAACGGGUGAGUAACACGUGGGCAAUCUGCCCUGCACUCUGGGACAAGCCCUGGAAACGGGGUCUAAUACCGGAUAUGAGCCUGGGAGGCAUCUCCCGGGUUGUAAAGCUCCGGCGGUGCAGGAUGAGCCCGCGGCCUAUCAGCUUGUUGGUGAGGUAACGGCUCACCAAGGCGACGACGGGUAGCCGGCCUGAGAGGGCGACCGGCCACACUGGGACUGAGACACGGCCCAGACUCCUACGGGAGGCAGCAGUGGGGAAUAUUGCACAAUGGGCGCAAGCCUGAUGCAGCGACGCCGCGUGAGGGAUGACGGCCUUCGGGUUGUAAACCUCUUUCAGCAGGGAAGAAGCGAAAGUGACGGUACCUGCAGAAGAAGCGCCGGCUAACUACGUGCCAGCAGCCGCGGUAAUACGUAGGGCGCAAGCGUUGUCCGGGAAUUAUUGGGCGUAAAGAGCUCGUAGGCGGCUUGUCACGUCGGAUGUGAAAGCCCGGGGCUUAACCCCGGGUCUGCAUUCGAUACGGGCAGGCUAGAGUUCGGUAGGGGAGAUCGGAAUUCCUGGUGUAGCGGUGAAAUGCGCAGAUAUCAGGAGGAACACCGGUGGCGAAGGCGGAUCUCUGGGCCGAUACUGACGCUGAGGAGCGAAAGCGUGGGGAGCGAACAGGAUUAGAUACCCUGGUAGUCCACGCCGUAAACGGUGGGCACUAGGUGUGGGCAACAUUCCACGUUGUCCGUGCCGCAGCUAACGCAUUAAGUGCCCCGCCUGGGGAGUACGGCCGCAAGGCUAAAACUCAAAGGAAUUGACGGGGGCCCGCACAAGCGGCGGAGCAUGUGGCUUAAUUCGACGCAACGCGAAGAACCUUACCAAGGCUUGACAUACACCGGAAACGUCCAGAGAUGGGCGCCCCCUUGUGGUCGGUGUACAGGUGGUGCAUGGGCUGUCGUCAGCUCGUGUCGUGAGAUGUUGGGUUAAGUCCCGCAACGAGCGCAACCCUUGUCCCGUGUUGCCAGCAGGCCCUUGUGGUGCUGGGGACUCACGGGAGACCGCCGGGGUCAACUCGGAGGAAGGUGGGGACGACGUCAAGUCAUCAUGCCCCUUAUGUCUUGGGCUGCACACGUGCUACAAUGGCCGGUACAAAGAGCUGCGAUACCGCGAGGUGGAGCGAAUCUCAAAAAGCCGGUCUCAGUUCGGAUUGGGGUCUGCAACUCGACCCCAUGAAGUCGGAGUCGCUAGUAAUCGCAGAUCAGCAUUGCUGCGGUGAAUACGUUCCCGGGCCUUGUACACACCGCCCGUCACGUCACGAAAGUCGGUAACACCCGAAGCCGGUGGCCCAACCCCUUGUGGGAGGGAGCUUCGAA
This 1413-nucleotide ribosomal RNA is filed under the name Streptomyces tricolor. Its description in RNAcentral is "bacterial SSU rRNA". It matches the Rfam family "Bacterial small subunit ribosomal RNA". Lineage: Bacteria; Bacillati; Actinomycetota; Actinomycetes; Kitasatosporales; Streptomycetaceae. The record is from RNAcentral.